CACGUAGGCGGUAGGACAAGUUAGAUGUGAAAUCCCAGGGCUUAACCUUGGAACUGCAUCUAAAACUGUUUUACUAGAGUUCACUAGAGGGAAGCGGAAUUUCCGGUGUAGCGGUGAAAUGCGUAGAUAUCGGAAGGAACAUCAGUGGCGAAGGCGGCUUCCUGGAGUUGAACUGACGCUAAGGUGCGAGAGCGUGGGGAGCGAACA
This 207-nucleotide ribosomal RNA is filed under the name uncultured bacterium. RNAcentral's name for it is "partial 16S ribosomal RNA". It matches the Rfam family "Bacterial small subunit ribosomal RNA", at positions 568 to 774 of the family's 1533-position model. The record is from RNAcentral.